This 153-nucleotide small nuclear RNA is filed under the name Echinops telfairi (small Madagascar hedgehog). RNAcentral's name for it is "U1 spliceosomal RNA (ENSETEG00000021017.1)". It matches the Rfam family "U1 spliceosomal RNA". Rfam says of the family: U1 is a small nuclear RNA (snRNA) component of the spliceosome (involved in pre-mRNA splicing). Its 5' end forms complementary base pairs with the 5' splice junction, thus defining the 5' donor site of an intron. Lineage: Eukaryota; Metazoa; Chordata; Mammalia; Afrosoricida; Tenrecidae. The record is from RNAcentral.
AUACUCACCUGGCAGGGGAGACACCACGAUCACGAAGGCGGUUUUCCCAGGGCGAGGCUUAUCCAUUGCACUCGGGAUGUGCUGACCCCUGCCAUUUCCCCAAAUGUGGGAAACGCGACUGCAUAAUUUGUGGUAGUGGGGGACUGGCAUUNN